CCUUAUACAGGGGGAUAACAGUUAGAAAUGACUGCUAAUACCGCAUAAGCGCACAGGAUUGCAUGAUCUGGUGUGAAAAACUCCGGUGGUAUAAGAUGGACCCGCGUCUGAUUAGCUGGUUGGUGAGGUAACGGCCCACCAAGGCGACGAUCAGUAGCCGACCUGAGAGGGUGACCGGCCACAUUGGGACUGAGACACGGCCCAAACUCCUACGGGAGGCAGCAUG
This 226-nucleotide ribosomal RNA is filed under the name uncultured bacterium. RNAcentral's name for it is "partial 16S ribosomal RNA". It matches the Rfam family "Bacterial small subunit ribosomal RNA", at positions 129 to 353 of the family's 1533-position model. The record is from RNAcentral.